AUGGACGGGAAUAACCUCGGGAAACUGAGAAUAAUGCCCGAUAGAACAUUAUACCUGGAACGGUUUAUGUUUCAAAUGAUUUAUCGCCGUAGGAUGGGACUGCGGCCUAUCAGUUUGUUGGUGAGGUAAUGGCCCACCAAGACUAUUACAGGUACGGGCUCUGAGAGGAGUAGCCCGGAGAUGGGUACUGAGACACGGACCCAGGCCCUAUGGGGCGCAGCAGGCGAGAAAACUUUGCAAUGUGCGAAAGCACGACAAGGUUAAUCCGAGUGGUUUCUGCUAAAGAAACCUUUUGCUAGUCCUAGAAACACUAGUGAAUAAGGGGUGGGCAAGUUCUGGUGUCAGCCGCCGCGGUAAAACCAGCACCUCAAGUGGUCAGGAUGAUUAUUGGGCCUAAAGCAUCCGUAGCUCGUUUUGUAAGUUUUCGGUUAAAUCCAUACGCUCAACGUAUGGGCUGCCGGGAAUACUGCAUAACUAGGAAGUGGGAGAGGUAGACGGUACUCGGUAGGAAGGGGUAAAAUCCUUUGACCUAUUGAUGACCACCUGUGGCGAAGGCGGUCUACCAGAACACGUUCGACGGUGAGGGAUGAAAGCUGGGGGAGCAAACCGGAUUAGAUACCCGGGUAGUCCCAGCUGUAAACUAUGCAAACUCAGUGAUGCAUUGGCUUGUGGCCAAUGCAGUGCUGCAGGGAAGCCGUUAAGUUUGCCGCCUGGGAAGUACGUACGCAAGUAUGAAACUUAAAGGAAUUGG
Molecule: ribosomal RNA, 751 nt
Filed under: uncultured archaeon
Lineage: Archaea
Description: bacterial SSU rRNA
Rfam family: Archaeal small subunit ribosomal RNA
Source: RNAcentral